RNAcentral lists this ribosomal RNA (380 nucleotides) under uncultured cyanobacterium. RNAcentral's name for it is "bacterial SSU rRNA". It matches the Rfam family "Bacterial small subunit ribosomal RNA", at positions 376 to 770 of the family's 1533-position model. The record is from RNAcentral. Lineage: Bacteria; Bacillati; Cyanobacteriota.
CGAAAGCCUGACGGAGCAAUACCGCGUGAGGGAGGAAGGCUCUUGGGUUGUAAACCUCUUUUCUCAAGGAAGAACACAAUGACGGUACUUGAGGAAUAAGCAUCGGCUAACUCCGUGCCAGCAGCCGCGGUAAUACGGAGGAUGCAAGCGUUAUUCGGAAUUAUUGGGCGUAAAGCGUCCGCAGGUGGUAAUUCAAGUCUGCUGUCAAAGACCGAAGCUUAACUUCGGAAAGGCGGUGGAAACUGAAUAACUAGAGUACGGUAGGGGUAGAGGGAAUUUCCAGUGUAGCGGUGAAAUGCGUAGAGAUUGGAAAGAACACCAGUGGCGAAGGCGCUCUACUGGACCGUAACUGACACUCAGGGACGAAAGCUAGGGUAGCG